Molecule: non-coding RNA, 69 nt
Organism: Daphnia pulex (common water flea)
Lineage: Eukaryota; Metazoa; Arthropoda; Branchiopoda; Diplostraca; Daphniidae
Source: Rfam
GAUUGUUUAACCUAAUUAAGGUUCUUGUUUUGAAAGUAAGUCAUAAAAGUUCAAAUCUUUUAGCACUCU